UACGGAGGAUGCAAGCGUUAUCCGGAAUUAUUGGGCGUAAAGCGUCUGUAGGUGGCUUUUUAAGUCUGCCGUCAAAUCCCAGGGCUUAACCCUGGACAGGCGGUGGAAACUACCAAGCUGGAGUACGGUAGGGGCAGAGGGAAUUUCCGGUGGAGCGGUGAAAUGCGCAGAUAUCAGGAGGAACACCGAUUGCGAAGGCAGCUCGCUGGGACGUCACUGACGCUGAGACGCGAAAGCGUGGGGAGCAAACAGG
Molecule: ribosomal RNA, 253 nt
Filed under: uncultured bacterium
Lineage: Bacteria
Description: partial 16S ribosomal RNA
Rfam family: Bacterial small subunit ribosomal RNA
Source: RNAcentral